GUGUACCCUGAGACCAUCCUGAACAUCCCGGAUCCUGACUAAUCUCAGAAACAAAGCAGGGUUGGGCUGGUUAGUACUUAAAUGGAAGCAGAUAUUUUUUUACUUUUUUUCUUUAGUGGGUUGUACA
RNAcentral lists this ribosomal RNA (127 nucleotides) under Rhinopithecus bieti (black snub-nosed monkey). The record is from RNAcentral. Lineage: Eukaryota; Metazoa; Chordata; Mammalia; Primates; Cercopithecidae.